Long non-coding RNA from Syngnathoides biaculeatus (alligator pipefish), 597 nucleotides. RefSeq lists it as uncharacterized. The transcript is spliced from 3 exons. NCBI's taxonomy places the organism in Eukaryota, Metazoa, Chordata, Actinopteri, Syngnathiformes, Syngnathidae. The record is from RefSeq and is a predicted model, not a curated record.
GACAAAGCGAGAAAGUGAAAUUAUGUCCGUGGAUGCAGAAAUGGAACGGAUGAAAACGGAGGAAGCCAUUCUCUGUCCUGCCUGAUGUGCCAUAUGGCAGCAUCAGUCGUGUGUCUGCGGUGUGCAGACCACAUCUGCUCACGCAUCCUUUGAUUCCAGACCAAAACAGUUGUACUCACACAUCUGUCCAACUCAUCGAAGUCUGCUCUCUCCAAUGAGCUCAUUUCUAAUCCUAUCCAAUCCUAGCGAGAACCUCGACAUCUUCAUUUCUGCUACCACCAGUUCUGCUUCCUGUUGUUUCUUCAGAGCCACCGUAUCUAACCCGUCGUACACCAUGGCCGGCCUCACCACUGUUUUGGAAACUUUGCCCUUCAUCCUUCUGUCAAACAGAACACCAGAGACCUUCCGCCAACUGUUCCAUCCCUCUAGGACCCGUUUCUUCACUUCCUUACCACAAUCUCCAUUGAUCUGUAUUGUCGACUCCAAGUAUUUGAAGUUGUCCACCUUCGCUAUCUCUUCUCCCUGGAGCCUCUAUUCUGUUUCACUUCAGCUAAUCUUCAUUACUCUCUUUUCCAGUGCAUGCCUCCACCUACAGAG